CAAAACGACUCUCGGCAACGGAUAUCUCGGCUCUCGCAUCGAUCAA
RNAcentral lists this ribosomal RNA (46 nucleotides) under Callicarpa japonica. RNAcentral's name for it is "partial 5.8S rRNA". The record is from RNAcentral. RNAcentral also lists the same sequence under 1 other name. Lineage: Eukaryota; Viridiplantae; Streptophyta; Magnoliopsida; Lamiales; Lamiaceae.